RNAcentral lists this ribosomal RNA (142 nucleotides) under uncultured eukaryote. RNAcentral's name for it is "partial 18S ribosomal RNA". It matches the Rfam family "Eukaryotic small subunit ribosomal RNA", at positions 1299 to 1458 of the family's 1831-position model. The record is from RNAcentral.
UGGUGGAGUGAUUUGUCUGGUUAAUUCCGUUAACGAACGAGACCUCGACCUGCUAAAUAGUUUGUCGAAUGCUUCUGCAUUCGGUCGAAUCUUCUUAGAGGGACUAUCGUUGUGUAGACGAUGGAAGUUCGAGGCAAUAACA